This 367-nucleotide ribosomal RNA is filed under the name Tardigrada environmental sample. Its description in RNAcentral is "SSU rRNA". It matches the Rfam family "Eukaryotic small subunit ribosomal RNA", at positions 38 to 406 of the family's 1831-position model. Lineage: Eukaryota; Metazoa; Tardigrada. The record is from RNAcentral.
UAAAGAUUAAGCCAUGCAUGUCUCAGUACUUGCUUUAACAAGGNGAAACCGCGAAUGGCUCAUUAAAUCAGUUAUGGUUCACUAGAUCGUACAGUUUACAKGGAUAACUGUGGUAAUUCUAGAGCUAAUACAUGCAACCAGUCCGUGCCUUCGGGUGCGGACGCAGUUAUUUGCCCAAAAACCAAUCCGGCCUUCGGGUCGGUCAAUUGGUGACUCUGAAUAACCGAAGCGGANCGCGUGGUUUCAUACCGGCGCCAGAUCUUUCAAGUGUCUGACUUAUCAGCUUGUUGUUAGGUUAUGUUCCUAACAAGGCRKCGACGGGUAACGGGGUGUCAGGGCCCGACACCGGAGARGGAGCCWGAGAAAC